This 399-nucleotide ribosomal RNA is filed under the name Triticum aestivum (bread wheat). RNAcentral's name for it is "partial small subunit ribosomal RNA". The record is from RNAcentral. Lineage: Eukaryota; Viridiplantae; Streptophyta; Magnoliopsida; Poales; Poaceae.
AUGUGUGAGUCCUUUAACAACUCCAUCAUGAGAGCAAGGUUUUAUCCUGUGAUUACUAGUCACGAGAUCAUAAGGAAGAAGGUCAUGGCUAGAAUUCAAGAAAACAGAGCAAAGCCUGAGAAGUGGAGUGAAAAAAUAUGCCCUAAUAUUUUCAAAAAGUUGCAGAUUAACAUAAAGAGAUCAGGAAGAUGCAAUGUGCUAUGGAAUGGCAAAGAAGGAUUUGAAGUGCAGGAAGGUGAGUAUAGAAGGUUCACAGUUGACCUAGAGAAGUGGACUUGCUCUUGUAGAUAUUGGGAGCUCUCUGGGUUGCCCUGUUGUCAUGCAAUCAGUGUAGUAUACACAUGUUGUUUAUGCCUUGAUGACUUCAUUGCACCUUGUUACUUCAUCAACACAUACAAC